This 84-nucleotide transfer RNA is filed under the name Candidatus Aenigmatarchaeota archaeon. RNAcentral describes it as "tRNA-Ser". It matches the Rfam family "tRNA". Rfam says of the family: Transfer RNA (tRNA) molecules are approximately 80 nucleotides in length. Their secondary structure includes four short double-helical elements and three loops (D, anti-codon, and T loops). Lineage: Archaea; Nanobdellati; Candidatus Aenigmatarchaeota. The record is from RNAcentral.
GCCGAGGUCGCGUAAUCCGGUAUCGCGCAGGUCUGGAAAACCUGUGUCCUUCGGGACUUGUGGGUUCAAAUCCCUCCCUCGGCG